AUAUAGGUCAGCUAAUGAAAGCUAAUGGGCUCAUAUCUCAUAAAUGAAGUUAAUUA
This 56-nucleotide transfer RNA is filed under the name Argyroneta aquatica (water spider). Its description in RNAcentral is "tRNA-Met". The record is from RNAcentral. Lineage: Eukaryota; Metazoa; Arthropoda; Arachnida; Araneae; Dictynidae.